CAUACGGGAGGCAGCAGUGAGGAAUAUUGGUCAAUGGGCGCGAGCCUGAACCAGCCAAGUAGCGUGAAGGCUGACUGCCCUACGGGUUGUAAACUUCUUUUAUAAAGGAAUGAAGUGAGGCACGUGUGCCUUUUUGUAUGUAUUUUAUGAAUAAGGAUCGGCUAACUCCGUGCCAGCAGACGCGGUAAUACGGAGGAUCCGAGCGUUAUCCGGAUUUAUUGGGUUUAAAGGGAGCGUAAAUGGGUUGUUAAGUCAGUUGUGAAAGUUUGCGGCUCAACCGUAAAAUUGCAAUUGAUACUGGCAGCCUUGAGUACAGUUGAGGUAGGCGGAAUUCGUGGUGUAGCGGUGAAAUGCUUAGAUAUCACGAAGAACUCCGAUUGCGAAGGCAGCCUACUAAACUGCCACUGACAUUGAUGCUCGAAAGUGUGGGUAUCAAACAGGAUUAGAUACCCUUGUAGUC
RNAcentral lists this ribosomal RNA (460 nucleotides) under uncultured bacterium. RNAcentral's name for it is "partial 16S ribosomal RNA". It matches the Rfam family "Bacterial small subunit ribosomal RNA", at positions 338 to 795 of the family's 1533-position model. The record is from RNAcentral.